Molecule: ribosomal RNA, 175 nt
Filed under: uncultured bacterium
Lineage: Bacteria
Description: partial 16S ribosomal RNA
Rfam family: Bacterial small subunit ribosomal RNA
Source: RNAcentral
GGAAUCGCUAGUAAUCGCGGAUCAGAAUGCCGCGGUGAAUACGUUCCCGGGUCUUGUACACACCGCCCGUCACACCAUGGGAGUCGGAAAUGCCCGAAGUCUGUGACCCAACCUGAGAGGGAGGGAGCAGCCGAAGGCAGGUCUGAUGACUGGGGUGAAGUCGUAACAAGGUACC